GACGAACGCUGUCGGCGUGCUUAACACAUGCAAGUCGAACGGAAAGGCCCUGCUUUUGUGGGGUGCUCGAGUGGCGAACGGGUGAGUAACACGUGAGUAACCUGCCCUUGACUUUGGGAUAACUUCAGGAAACUGGGGCUAAUACCGGAUAGGAGCUCCUGCUGCAUGGUGGGGGUUGGAAAGUUUCGGCGGUUGGGGAUGGACUCGCGGCUUAUCAGCUUGUUGGUGGGGUAGUGGCUUACCAAGGCUUUGACGGGUAGCCGGCCUGAGAGGGUGACCGGCCGCAUUGGGACUGAGAUACGGCCCAGACUCCUACGGGAGGCAGCAGUGGGGAAUAUUGCACAAUGGGCGGAAGCCUGAUGCAACAACGCCGCGUGCGGGAUGACGGCCUUCGGGUUGUAAACCGCUUUCGCCUGUGACGAAGCGUGAGUGACGGUAAUGGGUAAAGAAGCACCGGCUAACUACGUGCCAGCAGCCGCGGUGAUACGUAGGGUGCGAGCGUUGUCCGGAUUUAUUGGGCGAAAAGGGCUCGUAGGUGGUUGAUCGCGUCGGAAGUGUAAUCUUGGGGCUUAACCCCUGAGCGUGCUUUCGAUACGGGUUGACUUGAGGAAGGUAGGGGAGAAUGGAAUUCCUGGUGGAGCGGUGGAAUGCGCAGAUAUCAGGAGGAACACCAGUGGCGAAGGCGGUUCUCUGGGCCUUUCCUGACGCUGAGGAGCGAAAGCGUGGGGAGCGAACAGGCUUAGAUACCCUGGUAGUCCACGCUGUAAACGGUGGGUACUAGGUGUGGGGUCCAUUCCACGGGUUCCGUGCCGUAGCUAACGCUUUAAGUACCCCGCCUGGGGAGUACGGCCGCAAGGCUAAAACUCAAAGGAAUUGACGGGGCCCCGCACAAGCGGCGGAGCAUGCGGAUUAAUUCGAUGCAACGCGUAGAACCUUACCUGGGUUUGACAUGGAUCGGGAGUGCUCAGAGAUGGGUGUGCCUCUUUUGGGGUCGGUUCACAGGUGGUGCGUGGCUGUCGUCAGCUCGUGUCGUGAGAUGUUGGGUUAAGUCCCGCAACGAGCGCAACCCUUGUUCACUGUUGCCAGCACGUUAUGGUGGGGACUCAGUGGAGACCGCCGGGGUCAACUCGGAGGAAGGUGGGGAUGACGUCAAGUCAUCAUGCCCCUUAUGUCCAGGGCUUCACGCAUGCUACAAUGGCUGGUACAGAGAGUGGCGAGCCUGUGAGGGUGAGCGAAUCUCGGAAAGCCGGUCUCAGUUCGGAUUGGGGUCUGCAACUCGACCUCAUGAGGUCGGAGUCGCUAGUAAUCGCAGAUCAGCAACGCUGCGGUGAAUACGUUCCCGGGGCU
RNAcentral lists this ribosomal RNA (1347 nucleotides) under uncultured bacterium. RNAcentral's name for it is "partial 16S ribosomal RNA". It matches the Rfam family "Bacterial small subunit ribosomal RNA", at positions 28 to 1381 of the family's 1533-position model. The record is from RNAcentral.